Molecule: non-coding RNA, 932 nt
Organism: Elaeis guineensis (African oil palm)
Lineage: Eukaryota; Viridiplantae; Streptophyta; Magnoliopsida; Arecales; Arecaceae
Source: RefSeq, a predicted model, not a curated record
UCCCUGCACCAAGGUACAGGUUCCUCUCCCGUCCAUCACCACCCUCCCCACCGUCAGGGGCUAAUGCAGGGUGUUAUCCACUGUGAUAUUUGGCGGGGUCCGUGGGACCUGGUCCAAAUAAUUAUUAGACAUCAAGGGGGAUGUCGACGAACCCGAACCGCCGUCUGAAGAUUGGCUUUCGCCGUAGUAUGAGACCAGGCAUGGACCUACCUGAAUGCAGCGAGACAAUUAGUGGAGGAUGUCACGGCCUAUUCCAUGCGCUCUACAGGACUAAUACACAACGGUUAGAGCUUGGGAUCUCAGAGGCCCCCCUCCUAAAUUCACUCUCAUCGAGCCCCCAUUGAGAUCGAUCCUCCUUUUUCUAUAAGCACUUGGUGGUGUCCAGGAGGCUCCCAUGCAGUUUUGGAGGAAGCUCGAGCUGCUUAAUGAAGAAGAUGAAGAAGACGACGACAAGACGGUUGCAUUCCUUAAGAAUUCAGAUUGGAUUUGAGCAAAACUAACUGGAUCGAGCUGAAGAGCCUGAGCGCCUGUGCGUUGUUGUUCUUGGGUAUGAAUCACUCCAAAGUGCGUUACCAAGAUGGACUUUCCUGAGUUGAAAAGAAACUGCAUCUACUUCGCUGAUGACGACUGGGAGAGAUUCCAGAGCACGGAUCCCCUGCGGGCUGUCUACGGUUUUGAAGAUGGAAGCAUUCCCUGCAAUGACCAUUAAUUAAAGUUGAAUUCCUCCAGUCCGGUUCACACAGAGUCUUUAGUACUGUUAGCAGUUUUUUCUUUUAAAUUAAAUUUUAUAUUUAUCUGUAAUAGGCGUACUGGGUCAUGUUGGUUAGUUGGUUUAGUUAAUCAAUUUUUAUUUUAAAGAGUGGUUGUAACUAAUAUUAAUCUCUCCUAGCGGAGGGAUCUAAAAUAGAGAACAAAAGUAAUAUUUCUCUUCU